AGAGUUUGAUCCUGGCUCAGAUUGAACGCUAGCGGCAUGCUUAACACAUGCAAGUCGAACGGCAGCGGGGAGAAGCUUGCUUCUCUGCCGGCGAGUGGCGGACGGGUGAGUAACGCGUAGGAAUCUACCUUAUAGUGGGGGACAACCAGGGGAAACUCUGGCUAAUACCGCAUAAUCUCUACGGAGGAAAGAGGGCCUCUUCUUGAAAGCUCUCGCUAUUAGAUGAGCCUGCGUCGGAUUAGCUAGUUGGUGGGGUAAAGGCCUACCAAGGCGACGAUCCGUAGCUGGUCUGAGAGGACGAUCAGCCACACUGGGACUGAGACACGGCCCAGACUCCUACGGGAGGCAGCAGUGGGGAAUAUUGGACAAUGGGCGAAAGCCUGAUCCAGCAAUGCCGCGUGUGUGAAGAAGGCCUUCGGGUUGUAAAGCACUUUCAGCGGGGAAGAAAGGCUCAAGGCUAAUACCUUUGAGAGUUGACGUACCCGCAGAAGAAG
Molecule: ribosomal RNA, 494 nt
Filed under: uncultured Coxiella sp.
Lineage: Bacteria; Pseudomonadati; Pseudomonadota; Gammaproteobacteria; Legionellales; Coxiellaceae
Description: bacterial SSU rRNA
Rfam family: Bacterial small subunit ribosomal RNA
Source: RNAcentral